UACGGAAUGACUCUCGGCAACGGAUAUCUAGGCUCUUGCAUCGAUGAAGAACGUAGCGAAAUGCGAUACUUGGUGUGAAUUGCAGAAUCCCGUGAACCAUCGAGUCUUUGAACGCAAGUUGCGCCCGAAGCCAUUAGGCUGAGGGCACGUCUGCCUGGGCGUCACA
This 166-nucleotide ribosomal RNA is filed under the name Wisteriopsis reticulata. Its description in RNAcentral is "5.8S ribosomal RNA". It matches the Rfam family "5.8S ribosomal RNA". From Rfam's summary of the family: 5.8S ribosomal RNA (5.8S rRNA) is a component of the large subunit of the eukaryotic ribosome. It is transcribed by RNA polymerase I as part of the 45S precursor that also contains 18S and 28S rRNA. Lineage: Eukaryota; Viridiplantae; Streptophyta; Magnoliopsida; Fabales; Fabaceae. RNAcentral also lists the same sequence under 1 other name. The record is from RNAcentral.